GUCUGGGUAUUCCAGUGGUGGCUGCUGGUUGGGACUGGGACCACCCUGCCCUCGACUCCAUUCUCUAAUUGAGACGGCGACACCUUGAGGAGCUCUCUUGGCAGAGAAGCACGAUGAGGAGGUGAAUUGAAGACUUUGACCAUCAAGCCAUGGAGCGAGAGUCCAUGCUGACAUGGAGGUCAUGGAGGAUGAGUCUAUGGCAGGACUCAUGGGAGACAGGAAAGCAAUGGGAAAACGCAGUGUGGAUUCUGUAUAGAAGACUUAGCUUAGCCCGUGAGCUCACCAAGGGCUCUCUGAAUUUUCAAUAGUUCCUUUGUGAAGGCAUCUGUUACUCACGUAAUUGAAAAGAUGUUUGUGCAGUGGCAUGCUUGAGAGUACAGUUAUUUAAUCUUAAUGAUAAAGCCCUGAGGACAGAAAAUCAUAAGUAGAAACCUCUUGUUAUUUAUCAAAAAGAAAAGGGGCUAAGACACCUAAUCUAUUCUCAAAUUUAAAUUCAUGCUUGAUGAAAACUAUCAAUAAAACAUUGGACCUGAAAAGUUUCUUAAAUACUAUAGCCAGGUUCAAAGGGGUGAGUUAGGGGGGAGGUAGGAAGAAAACGAAAAUGAGACAAUAAAGGAGCUUGACAAAGAAAAACUGCUGUUUGGCAAGCUUUUUUUUUUUUUUUUUUUGGGUCAAACAAAGAACUUGCUGUAGUUUACAGCAUGACACACACACUUGAUUAGUUUGUGCCUGAGGGUGUUUUUACACUCUAUAGUGUAAACUCCAACUUCUAUUAAUUACAACUUGCAUUUAGAGGCAAAUUUAAGAAUUUUUAAAUAGAGAUUUUUUUUCCAAGGCUGUUGUUUAUUUUUUUUUAAACAGAAACCAGUUUUUCUACUCCAGGGCCUGGCAAGGGCUUUGUUUUCCUUUUUAGAAGUUUUUUGAAAUACUCAGGCAUUGGAAAGGUAGCAGAGCACUUUAAGCACUCUGAGGGAUACAGAGGGAGGCUUUUGCUUAUGAAGUUAACUGACCGUCCUUUCGGGAGAAAUUCUGUAGGUCCCCAAGAACAAGCUUGGUGGGGUGUAGACAGAAGGGCUGUGGCUAUGCCUCAGCCUGUCUGAAUCUUGGUGCCUUGUUAGAUUUCCCUGACCGCUGGGUGUUGCUAAGAGCCAGAGGCCUUCUGUGGGUUUAGGAGAAAAGGUUGAGAGGGCAUGCGUGGCAGUAUUGAAGAGGUGUUGCUGUGCCCACUGGCCAGAGCCCCCAUCAUUGAGAUGAUGAUUAGAAAGGAGUUGCAAGUCCAUAGACUGCUCAACCCCACUAUGGGUGCCCAUGGGGGAAGAUGGAACAGGGUCUACCCUUUGGACCUCAGGGCAAGACAGUCAAUAGGCACUAUAAAGGUAAACUGUAAUACCUGCAUCGGUGUAUCCAAUUCAGAAAUUCAGCCUUAGUACUCACCUAAUAGCUUCUUCCAUCACCUCAUUCCUUACCUCUUAACACACAUUCCCUAGAGAAAACCAUCCUUUUUGUUCAAAUUUAAUUUAAUUCAUUCAAUCCCAAUUUCCUGAGUCCCUGAAAUGUUCAUGACACUCUCCUGGGUCCACUGGGGAGACUCCAGGAAACCAAUAGCCCAUGAUCCUUGCCCUCAAAAUUAGUAUCUUUAUCAGUCUCAAAUUCAACAGCUGAACAUUUUAGGCAAUGUAUGAUGAUCGAUCUCUAAAGUUAUAACCUAACUCUUUAAGACCCAGUCAAAAUUGUAGAUCCUCCUGAAGACUUUGCUCAUUCCAGCUUGAAAAUUCUCUCUAUUCUUUCUUUGAUCCCUAUUGAAUUUGUUAUUUGUAUCAAUUUCUUAUAGACCUGAAGUUUUUAUAACCUCAAAUAAUUUAACUCUCUUUCAGAUAUGUAUGGACUAUGAGUUGGAUUGUAUGAUGUUAGGUAAGCCAAGGAUCACAGCAACUUCCAGUUCUAAUGAGUCAGUGGUAAUGGCCUGCGCGUGCCAUACUGAGGAGAGUUCUGAAGCUGAACUUGGGCUUGUGGAAACCAGCAUCGUGUUUCCUUCGCGUUCUCUGGUAGCAUGGGCACUUCCUCAUUGUUUGCCAGCCUUAUUCCAAACUCUUUGGUUCAUACGUUUUCAUUAUCCCAGAGGGUGCUUUGCAAGUGGUAGACACUCAAAAAACACCCAUUGGCUCGUGAAGGCAGAAGCAAAGGAAAAACGGCAGUUGCUCAAAUGGCAAAUCUAUCGUACCUCAGAAAAAUAACCCAGCAACUAGGAGGGCUUCUUACCAAUUUCAAAUGUAAUCUUAGGUUAUGUUGAUAGACUGAUACUGCUACAUCCCAAGAAGUACUAUAUGCCACAUCUGGAAUCGCUCUGGGUAUUCUGAGUGACACAAAUUGGAGGCAUCUACAUGACAGCAGGCCAAGCUGGUGAAAAUCCAUAAAUCGUGCUCUGAGGCUUGGCUGAAUGGAAUAGGAGGACUUGAAGUGAGAAGGGAGCCAAACAUAUGGAGGCCCAUCACCAAGGAAAUGGCAUGCACAGAAAGUCAGCCUCCACAGGCAAGGGCAUUUGAGCAGAGACUGGAUUAGCCCAGUGCCAAAGUUGGUUCAGUCCUCACAGAACUUGACAGCCUAUAGGCUACUUUUGCCCAAAGGUGACUCGGGACACCUUCAAUGCAGAGAUGGAUGAGAAAGAAAGUGUUCUACUUAGAAAGGUCCCACCCAGCUGACAGUGGGCAUUUUUUCUUUGCAUUCCAACCUCUGGUAGCUUGACUAUAUAUCCUGAGCAAGAAGUGUCCAGAAUAAUCACACUUCAUGAGCUUUACUGAGUUUGAGACAUCCACGUAGCAACGGUCUCGCGAUGGGGAAACAUGAAUGCUUUUUAUAUUGGUGAUCAGCUGUAACAUGAGCAAUUAAGUACAGUACUAAUGGACUAUGGCCAGGAGCCUGGUACUAAUAUUAAAAACUGACAGAGAUGAAUAGGUUUGGAAGCAAAACCAGGCUGACAAAGACAUUUUUAUGAAGUGCCUGGACCUAUUUGAUUUAAACCAAUCAGAGGCAAGUUUGGACGAGUCAGGCCUUCAGCGACAAUGAUGCAUUCACAGGCAUUGUACCAUUUCUGUUAUGCCUUAAAUAAAAACACCCAUUGAUUCUUUUCAACAACCCACACUUUCAUUAUUACACUCAUUAAUAAACCAAAAGUGCUCAACUAAAUAUACAAGUAAUAUUUACUGAGGCCCCGGCUACUUUUUUCUUGUUGGAAAAUGAAAACAUUUACUGGAAACACGAACCGCACCACAUGAAAAAUAAAUCAAAGGAUAAUGCACAGAUCACUCAUUUCUUCUUCAUCUUCUAGGAAAGCAAAGCUGGCGAUAGGGAAGGGGGAAAGGGAUCAAGUCUGUACACCGGAGUGAAAAGAGUGAGACCAGAUGACUGGCUGCACAGGAGCAACCCAGUCAUUCUGAUCUGAUGGGGAAAGGUAUGAAAAAUGUCCAUGGGCAUCUCCGGACGAGAUGUCUGCCCGCAACAUCCUGAUAUUUGUCUUUCUUACUUCUUGAUCCUUCUUGAA
Molecule: long non-coding RNA, 3538 nt
Organism: Canis lupus familiaris (dog)
Lineage: Eukaryota; Metazoa; Chordata; Mammalia; Carnivora; Canidae
Exons: 5
Source: RefSeq, a predicted model, not a curated record